Molecule: ribosomal RNA, 200 nt
Filed under: uncultured bacterium
Lineage: Bacteria
Description: partial 16S ribosomal RNA
Rfam family: Bacterial small subunit ribosomal RNA
Source: RNAcentral
UACGAAGGGGGCUAGCGUUGUUCGGAAUUACUGGGCGUAAAGCGCGCGUAGGCGGGUCGUUAAGUUAGAGGUGAAAUCCCAGAGCUCAACUCUGGAACUGCCUUUAAUACUGGCGACCUAGAGACCGGUAGAGGUGAGUAGAAUUCCUAGUGUAGAGGUGAAAUUCGUAGAUAUUAGGAAGAAUACCAGUGGCGAAGGCG